This 65-nucleotide transfer RNA is filed under the name Dipodomys ordii (Ord's kangaroo rat). It matches the Rfam family "tRNA". From Rfam's summary of the family: Transfer RNA (tRNA) molecules are approximately 80 nucleotides in length. Their secondary structure includes four short double-helical elements and three loops (D, anti-codon, and T loops). Lineage: Eukaryota; Metazoa; Chordata; Mammalia; Rodentia; Heteromyidae. The record is from Rfam by way of RNAcentral.
GGUGGCUCAGUGGUAGAGAGCUUGCCUUGCAUGCAUGAGGCCCUAGGUUCAAUUCCUCAGCACCA